GUUGAAAAGAACUUUGAAGAGAGAGUUCAAGAGUACGUGAAACCGUUCUGGGGUAAACGGGUGGAGCCCUAAAGAUCGAAAGAGGAGAUUCAGUAUCCAGUCCUCCUGCCGCUCCGGGUCGUUGGGUAAAUUCCGAGUCGCCUCGCAAGGGGUUGUGCUCGGGGCCCUCGGUCCGGGUACGCGCGCGGGCGGUGGAGCGCACUUCUCCUCGAGUAGGACGCCGCGACCCGUUAGGUGUCGACCUAAGGCUCGGGUGCGAGCCCGACUUGCGGUUCGCCGCGGGUCGGAGCCCCGAUGUCCCGGCCGACUGCCCGACGGUAGUUUUACGGAAAAGGCCCGCGUGCUUUUAGCUCGCGCGCGUGCCCCGUGCAAGCGUUCGGCCGGACCCUGUCGUACGGACUUGUCCGUCGCAGACCGGUCGGCGCUGUUGGCGCGGGGACUUCUCGCGCAGUGGCCUGCUCCCGUUUGCGGCGCUCGCAACUGGGCGGCCCACCCGGCCCGUCUUGAAACACGGACCAAGGAGUCUAACAUGUGCGCGAGUCACUGGGUAUUACUAAACCCAAGGGCGAAUUGAACGAAAAGGUCGGCUUCGUGCCGGCUUAGGGAAGAUGGAGGCCCCUCGUGGGUCUCUCGCAUUCCCGGGGCGUCUCGUCCUACCUCCGCUCGUCGGUCGAAGGUGAGGCGCACCAAGAGCGCACACGUUGGGACCCGAAAGAUGGUGAACUAUGCCUGGCCAGGACGAAGUCAGGGGAAACCCUGAUGGAGGUCCGUAGCGAUUCUGACGUGCAAAUCGAUCGUCGGAGCUGGGUAUAGGGGCGAAAGACUAAUCGAACCAUCUAGUAGCUGGUUCCCUCCGAAGUUUCCCUCAGGAUAGCUGGCGCUCGUAGGACCGAGUCCCAUCCGGUAAAGCGAAUGAUUAGAGGCCUUGGGGUCGAAACGACCUCAACCUAUUCUCAAACUUUAAAUGGGUGGGAACCGGGGCUUGUUU
Molecule: ribosomal RNA, 988 nt
Filed under: Oligoneuriopsis lawrencei
Lineage: Eukaryota; Metazoa; Arthropoda; Insecta; Ephemeroptera; Oligoneuriidae
Description: partial 28S large subunit ribosomal RNA
Rfam family: Eukaryotic large subunit ribosomal RNA
Source: RNAcentral